RNAcentral lists this ribosomal RNA (731 nucleotides) under uncultured bacterium. Its description in RNAcentral is "bacterial SSU rRNA". It matches the Rfam family "Bacterial small subunit ribosomal RNA", at positions 37 to 763 of the family's 1533-position model. The record is from RNAcentral.
UGGCGGCAGGCCUAACACAUGCAAGUCGAGCGGUAGAGAGAAGCUUGCUUCUCUUGAGAGCGGCGGACGGGUGAGUAAUGCCUAGGAAUCUGCCUGGUAGUGGGGGAUAACGUUCGGAAACGGACGCUAAUACCGCAUACGUCCUACGGGAGAAGGCAGGGGACCUUCGGGCCUUGCGCUAUCAGAUGAGCCUAGGUCGGAUUAGCUAGUUGGUGAGGUAAUGGCUCACCAAGGCGACGAUCCGUAACUGGUCUGAGAGGAUGAUCAGUCACACUGGAACUGAGACACGGUCCAGACUCCUACGGGAGGCAGCAGUGGGGAAUAUUGGACAAUGGGCGAAAGCCUGAUCCAGCCAUGCCGCGUGUGUGAAGAAGGUCUUCGGAUUGUAAAGCACUUUAAGUGGGGAGGAAGGGUUGUAGAUUAAUACUCUGCAAUUUUGACGUUACCGACAGAAUAAGCACCGGCUAACUCUGUGCCAGCAGCCGCGGUAAUACAGAGGGUGCAAGCGUUAAUCGGAAUUACUGGGCGUAAAGCGCGCGUAGGUGGUUUGUUAAGUUGGAUGUGAAAUCCCCGGGCUCAACCUGGGAACUGCAUUCAAAACUGACUGACUAGAGUAUGGUAGAGGGUGGUGGAAUUUCCUGUGUAGCGGUGAAAUGCGUAGAUAUAGGAAGGAACACCAGUGGCGAAGGCAACCACCUGGACUAAUACUGACACUGAGGUGCGAAAGCGUG